Molecule: ribosomal RNA, 343 nt
Filed under: uncultured Desulfocapsa sp.
Lineage: Bacteria; Pseudomonadati; Thermodesulfobacteriota; Desulfobulbia; Desulfobulbales; Desulfocapsaceae
Description: bacterial SSU rRNA
Rfam family: Bacterial small subunit ribosomal RNA
Source: RNAcentral
GGUGCUGCAUGGCUGUCGUCAGCUCGUGUCGUGAGAUGUUGGUUAAGUCCCGCAACGAGCGCAACCCUUGUCUUUAGUUGCCAUCAUUCAGUUGGGCACUCUAAAGAGACUGCCGGUGUCAAACCGGAGGAAGGUGGGGAUGACGUCAAGUCCUCAUGGCCUUUAUGACCAGGGCUACACACGUACUACAAUGGCCGGUACAAAGGGCAGCCACUUAGCGAUAAGGAGCCAAUCCCGUAAAGCCGGUCUCAGUCCGGAUUGGAGUCUGCAACUCGACUCCAUGAAGUUGGAAUCGCUAGUAAUCGCAGAUCAGCACGCUGCGGUGAAUACGUUCUCGGGGUUU